RNAcentral lists this long non-coding RNA (1066 nucleotides) under Marmota monax (woodchuck). Lineage: Eukaryota; Metazoa; Chordata; Mammalia; Rodentia; Sciuridae. The record is from RNAcentral.
GAGCAGCUGCUCCUCCAGACCCUGCCCCUCUGAGAUGCUGACAGGGGAAGAGAAAGAUGGAUUCCACUACAAGAGCUUCCAAGCCUUCCGCUGAGGCUUAAGUCUGGCCUGAGCAGAUAUAUUUGGUUACACCUUAGGGAUUGUUUUCACUCAACACUAAAUUUUAUUAAGAUUUGAAUGAUGAAGCGAGACGCUGUGGUUAGGAAAACAAAUGCCGAAUGCCUUUACCUUGUUGGGAAUCGCCUGGCGAUUCUGAAAACUCAGAGACAAGCCGUGCUUUAUUCCAUAUGAGGAUUUUCCCAAUGACAUCCUAAAAGGCAAUUAGGCUGUCGUUCUAUGUGCUCGCAACAACUCAACUUUUCCAAUUUUUAAAGUGGCACGGUUAAGUAAAACUCUCUGUAUCGUAAAAGAGAUCGUGUUGGCACCGCCAAGCAUGGCCUCCGCCAGGCUUUUUCUGCCGUGACGACCUUGUAGCAUCCAACCAAACCUAUAGGAAGAAGCCAAGAGAACCAUUGUUGAGUCAGGGUCUCCGCACCCGGCAUUGUGGACAACUUUGUAAGCCUCAAGUCAAGAGAAACAACCCCCAACUCAAUGAUGAACUCUAAGCCCAGCUGGGAGCCAUUGUAGACCGAGGCUUGCAAGACAGGGAUGGUGUCUGUGGCUGUGCAGUGGUGCCCCGUAUCCAGUGGUACCCCGUAUGCACGGCCAUAAUAAAGUUUAAUUUAUAAUAAGGCACUAUAAGAUAUUAACAGCAAUCCCUCAUAAUAAAAUAGCACAAUUAUAACAAUAUACUAUAAUCAACGUCAUUUAACACUCAUGAGCUCUUUACUUCUGGGAUUUCCAUUUCAUGUUUUUGAUGGUAGUGAACCAUGGGUAAUUGCUACUUCAGAAGGCAAUACGUCCCACAAGGACCCCUAGGGGAUACGUAUUGACCAUAUUAAAGGAAACUGACUUGUCCAGUCCAGUGGGCUUAAUGGAAACACCAUGUGCUCUUGAACCUUGGUUCUGUGGUUACUUAUUGAAGAAAAGAUUGAAAACACAACUCUAGGGGAUCCCCAGAUGAGAG